This 492-nucleotide ribosomal RNA is filed under the name uncultured bacterium. RNAcentral's name for it is "partial 16S ribosomal RNA". It matches the Rfam family "Bacterial small subunit ribosomal RNA", at positions 29 to 507 of the family's 1533-position model. The record is from RNAcentral.
AGUGAACGCUGGCGGUAGGCCUAACACAUGCAAGUCGAACGGCGGCACAGUAAGAGCUUGUUCUUACGGGUGGCGAGUGGCGGACGGGUGAGGAAUACAUCGGAAUCUACUUUUUCGUGGGGGAUAACGUAGGGAAACUUACGCUAAUACCGCAUACGACCUACGGGUGAAAGCAGGGGAUCUUCGGACCUUGCGCGAUUGAAUGAGCCGAUGUCGGAUUAGCUAGUUGGCGGGGUAAAGGCCCACCAAGGCGACGAUCCGUAGCUGGUCUGAGAGGAUGAUAAGCCACACUGGAACGGAGAAACGGUCCAGACUCCUACGGGAGGCAGCAGUGGGGAAUAUUGGACAAGGGGCGCAAGCCUGAUCCAGCCAUACCGCGUGGGUGAAGAAGGCCUUCGGGUUGUAAAGCCCUUUUGUUGGGAAAGAAAAGCAGCAGGUUAAUACCCCGCUGUUCUGACGGUACCCAAAGAAUAAGCACCGGCUAACUUCGUG